RNAcentral lists this ribosomal RNA (449 nucleotides) under uncultured bacterium. RNAcentral's name for it is "partial 16S ribosomal RNA". It matches the Rfam family "Bacterial small subunit ribosomal RNA", at positions 29 to 523 of the family's 1533-position model. The record is from RNAcentral.
AACGAACGCUGGCGGCAUGCCUAACACAUGCAAGUCGAACGAAGCCUUCGGGCUUAGUGGCGCACGGGUGCGUAACGCGUGGGAAUCUGCCCCUUGGUUCGGAAUAACAGUUGGAAACGACUGCUAAUACCGGAUGAUGACGAGAGGCCAAAGAUUUAGCGCCAGAAGAUGAGCCCGCGUAGGAUUAGCUAGUUGGUGUGGUAAAGGCGCACCAAGGCGACGAUCCUUAGCUGGUCUGAGAGGAUGAUCAGCCACACUGGGACUGAGACACGGCCCAGACUCCUACGGGAGGCAGCAGUGGGGAAUAUUGGACAAUGGGCGAAAGCCUGAUCCAGCAAUGCCGCGUGAGUGAUGAAGGCCCUAGGGCUGUAAAGCUCUUUUACCCGGGAUGAUAAUGACAGUACCGGGAGAAUAAGCCCCGGCUAACUCCGUGCCAGCCGCCGCCGUAA